Molecule: ribosomal RNA, 377 nt
Filed under: uncultured bacterium
Lineage: Bacteria
Description: bacterial SSU rRNA
Rfam family: Bacterial small subunit ribosomal RNA
Source: RNAcentral
AUUGAACGCUGGCGGCAUGCCUUACACAUGCAAGUCGAACGGCAGCACGGGAGCAAUCCUGGUGGCGAGUGGCGAACGGGUGAGUAAUAUAUCGGAACGUGCCCAGUCGUGGGGGAUAACGUAGCGAAAGCUACGCUAAUACCGCAUACGAUCUACGGAUGAAAGCGGGGGAUCGCAAGACCUCGCGCGAUUGGAGCGGCCGAUAUCAGAUUAGGUAGUUGGUGAGGUAAAGGCUCACCAAGCCGACGAUCUGUAGCUGGUCUGAGAGGACGACCAGCCACACUGGGACUGAGACACGGCCCAGACUCCUACGGGAGCAGCAGUGGGGAAUUUUGGACAAUGGGCGCAAGCCUGAUCCAGCAAUGCCGCGUGCAGGA